CAGUCACUCUGUUUCAAAGGAAAGAAAAAUGAGUACCAAAAAAAAGAACAAAGACUAUGUACCUUUGAUGUAUUAGAUCAAAUUUAAUUUUAUGCAUCUUGAGCCACACUUUGUCUGCAUAGCUCCUUCCUAUAUAGUGGAAAACAGGCAUUCCUAUGUUCCAUUACAAUUAUUACAACACCAGUGAAUACAGCAUCAGUCUCCAAUGGCAGUCCUUCUCAAACUCUUCUGUAGGUAAAGGUGGAACCAUCAUUGUGGAUACCCCACUUGGACAUACUCUAUCUGAACAAGAGUGCAGCAGUACCAGGAGCAGUACCAGGAGCAGUACAGAACAUCCCAUCUACCACAGAAACGAGCUCAAACACCUGGUUUCAACAUACCUUCUUUAUGGGAAUAGUAGAGCUGAGGCCCUUCUAUCCAGCAUACUAUGGUUGUGUAACCAUGAUGCAGCCUAUACAAUACACCGAUUCCACCUUUAAGAUAGUCAAUGAUUAAAUUACAACUAGAUGCUAUUGCAACAGAAAAAGCACCAUGACCACCAGAAGAAAAACACUCAAAAAAAAAAAAAAAAAAAGAGUUCUUUCGAAAAGUAAACCCUGAAUUCCUUCAUUGCUUGAUAAUUGCAUUGUUUGAAUACAGAACCAUAGGAUUAUCAAAGACCUCAAGAAAUCAUCUAGUCCAUGCCCUUGUCUCUGCCUGACAGGUGUUAAGUCUCAAAAAGCUUCCAGCUGCUGGCACUCCACAACUGCUCUAAACAGUCCAUUCCAGUGCUUAAUUAUCCUCUAGAUUAGAAAACCGUAGGUUUCUCUUAUGACAAUAAAAGACCAUUGCUGAGUGUGCUAUCAUCCAUGGAUACCAAGAAAGACUCUUUCUGUCUUUUCUCUAGAACAGCCUUUUUAUACAUUAGAAGGUGCAUUUCUUUUCUUCCGGUCUUCCUUUGUGUAGGCUAAAGAAACACAAACAAUUGAACUGCUGGGUCUAGGCUUUUUAAGUUUUUCUUCUCUGGACUUGUGAUUUUUCUGUCUUGAAAGGCAAAACUUUAAACUGGAUGUAAUACAGCAAGUGGAACAGAAGGAUUAGUUCAUGUGUCAGUGGACAAUACUCCUUUCUCUACACACUGGUAUGGUGUUUGUUGCAACAAAAUACUGUUGACAUACAAUGCACUACAUCCUCUUCUACAGAUGUCCUAGCUGGAUAGUUAUCCCCAGAUCUUUAUGCAACUGAUUAUUUCUGCCUAAGUACAGCACUCUACACACUACUAAAGAAAUUUCUUUAAAACUACAUCUCUUCAUUUUAUAAAGAAACUCUGAAUUCUCAUCUUGUCUUCUAACAUACUCAGUCCUUCCCAGCCUGCUAUCUACCAACUUAGGAAGUAAAAUCUAUUCCAUCAGAAGGCCUUUAAUACAAUUUUAAAAUGUAUUAAAUGUAUUUAAAAUACCAGAUGCAGAGCCACUCAAGAGUCCUAUUCAAUCUAUCUUUCAUCUUGAAUGCUAACCAGUAAAGCUUACUCUCUGAAUAAGGCUUUCAAAACAGGUAUGCACUUACUGUGCAGUUUGUUCAUAUAAAUAUGCUGAUGAGAAUGUUAUGAGGGACAGCAUCAGAAACCUUACUGAAGAUAAUGUAUAAUAUUAGUGCUUCUCCUCUAUCCGCAACGCUUGUUACACUGCUACAGGAGUAAAUUGGAUAGAUUUGAUAGAAUUUGGUCUUAAGAUACCAUGUUAGCUAUUACUCACCUUUUUAUGUACAAUGGUUUUAGCUCUGUUAAAACAGUCUAUGGUAAUCAAAGAACUCAAAUAUAAUUAUAAACCACGUCUGGUUCGAAUAAGUCUCAAGACUUCAAGUGACUUCCUAUUCCACCUCAGAGAAUAAUUUGUUCAUUUAAAUUAAUGGAGAUAGACUCUUUCCUCCUCCGCUGCAUCGCCCUCCUUUAUUGGAGUUGGUGCCAUCCUGUCUGCCAGAGGUAGUGAUAAAGGAACAAUUUAGAAUGAAGUAGCAAGGGCUGUGUGUUGAACUGGUGAAGUACAGGGAUAGGGUGAAAAUAGUACAAGUGCAAAAAUGAAAAAUACAUUUCAUUUUAUAAAAAAAUGAAUUUGGAAUUAUUUAAAGUGCCAUUGCCAACCUUUGACUAAUGAAAAUGCAUUUCAUUAAUCUCUCCUUUUCAGAUUGUCAUCAGCUUUUUCAUUAAAUUGGCAUACUGCAAGCGCACCAUCACUGCCAGUACUUGAAUUGUGCAAUGUAUUUAUAAACAGUGCAACUAUUUUAUAAAUAAAGCAACUUCAUUUAUAAAAUAAAUUUUAUUUUGCCUGUCACUAUUUAAAAAACCCAAACUCACAUAAGUCAUUAGUAUGGUAUUAUGGACUUAAACAAAGGAAGGCAAAUUGGAAUGAAGGUAGCUUCUGGGCAUAAUUCCUGUAAUUCCUUAUUGCAGGAUAAUUGAAUAAAUGAAAAUGUGUGUCUGAAAAAAAAAUACUAUUUGUAAAACUAUCUGUAAAACCAGACUAUUAAAAUAACUGCUUAUGUUUUUCAGAAUGCAGGACAGUACUUCACUGGUAACAAAUGCAUCAUUUGUUGCGAUAAUUCCUAUCAUAAUAUUUAAGUACUCUUCUUACACAGUGAUCUCCCUGAAGAAUGCCUUAGCAUUGUUGUAAGGAGAUAAAAUUCCCAAGUCUGCCCAGCAGAUGACAGGGGGCACAAAGGAACUAAUUACAGCUUCCUGAUCCUAGAGGGCUGACUUACAGUCUAACCCUUAGGGUCUUUAGGAGAGGCUACAGUUUUCUCUGAAAUACUCAGCUGGUAAUGCUCUCUGCUUUCCCAAGCAAUCAGCUUGCUACUCAAGGAACGACAGAGUGUAAAUAGUUAUGAUUUGCUUCUGUUAACUACUUACAAGGUUAGAGAAGAACCACAGCAGUCAGCUCAGCGCUGCUCUGCUACUACACACAGUGAAAAUCUCUCUGAUCUCCCUGCACUUCCAGAACUUGGUUAUGCUAUACAUUGAAGAUGUUCCAGAAGCUAGUAUGUUGCUCUUUCACAGAUAUUUUUAAUAUACAUCAAAAUGUUCUUCUUACUAUCCUAGACUUGUGAGCUGCUCAAAAAACUUAACAUAUGUGUUUGAAAACUCAAGUCUUAAAUACUGCUCAUACUACACAUUUUUUCUGAUGCACAGUUGUCAUAGCAAGCACUGUUUUACACAUCAUAGCAAUUUUCACUUAGUCCUCUAGACUCAAUUUUCACUUCCACAACAUAUCAUCUAUAACUCUCCACCUCUGACCUUUUACUCUGUGCUCUGUCAUGAGUUUGCACCUGUUUCUCAGUAUGUUCUCUUGGAUGCUUUCCCACCAUUUCAAGUUCUGCAUGUUCCUAGCUAAGCGUAAUCUAUUUCUGUUUUCUGUUUCUCACUUCUCUAUUGAUAACAGGUCCUUUACUGGACAAGAAUUAUGCUAUAUUUUAUAUCAUUAGAACACUAAUGAAAUUGAUGUUUUUCUCUCCCACCCUUAGGUUUUCCAGAUCUAGAUACUCUGUGUUCAGUUAUUUCACCAAGUUCUGUUUGCGCCCAUAAAGUACUGAUACACAUCUGCCAUCUCUUAAAAGUAUUCUUUGGAGAAUAAUGUAUUAUAUGGCUUUUUUUCAAUUUAUUCAGAAUUUUGAAGGGAGGAAUCUUACAUCAGCUGUCAAGAUGCCAAUAACAAGUGACCUAGUGGACAUCUCAAUUUAUAAUCUUUGCACCAGACGACCACCAGUUUGGCAGUGAAAAAUAUAAAGAAGUUUUUAUCCAUCCCCCCCAAAAGCCGUUGCUACACUAAAAUAAGAUCACUGGUUGAUAACGUAUUCCAUAACAAAGCUAAAAACCAGAUUUAACAAAAAGUAACAAUCAUAGACAAUUCAAAUUAUGACUGGGUUUUAAAUUGGGCUUUCAUAAAUUUAGGCCUAUUGUUUUUCUCAGAAUUCAGCUUUAUAUCUUAUUCCCCAAAGUGCCUGCACACACUCUAGUCUUUACUACCUUGAAUAAUGCCAUUUCUUCAACAAGACUAUUUGUUGACUCCAGUAAUAAGCAGAUGAUCAAGUGUUUAUGCCAAGUUAAGGUACAUACUACAUACAUAUCUUGCAAGUUAUCAAUUGUUAGUUUUAUAUAUAUAUUAAAAAACCAAACCAAACACUUUCUGAAAGUAUUCUAAUACACAUUUUACAACACAGCAUCUGCAUCUAAAGCAUCAGCAAAGAUAGAUGCAAAAUGCAUACGCAGUUUAAGUACACAUAGGCAUAUAACAAGAAGUGAAGUUAAAUGUAACAGGAUUUGGGUGCCUGCAUUUCUCUGUUUCAACAAAUAUCACUGUACAUUGUUUAAGACAUGGUUUUUCAGAGGGGAUUCAGCAAUAUCUGCCAAAGAUGGCCCUGGCCUGAACUCCUAGAGUUACAUACGUUAAAAAUUUGGAGAACUCACAUGCAUUUCAUGCCAACCUUUUGCGCUCUAACAAAGUGAACCAAAAUACCAAGAUGAAAACCUCUGUUUUUCUUGACUUGUCUUGAUCACCGAGAGAACUCAUAUAGCGAGACAUCAUCAACUGAAAACUAACCAAAUGCAGUGAAAAAAAGGACUGCAGGUAUCACACUUAACUCAAAGCUUUUCUCCAACUUUUUAGAGAAUUUAUCCUUCAUACAGAAGUAUCUAAAAGAAUUGAUAAGAUUUCUGCGGACAACUAAACAGUCAAUUUUACAGCAGUACUAUGGCAUGCGGUAGUCCGUAGGAAAUGCUGGAGGGUGGCAGAGGUUUGCUGACCAAGAAGUGCAGCACUGGAUCCUGCAAGACACUAACCGCCACUGUCCACCGAUAUUAGAAUAAAUGAGGCUGCCAAGUACUUGCGUUUAUCAGCCUGGUGUGGCAUCAGGGUCAGGGGCUUCUUUUGCUUUUACUGGAAUUACAGAGCAUGAUGACUUAGAACAUAAAUGCCCUAGAGAUUCACAUUUCACUACAACAGGCUUUGGCACACUUUGUACUUUGCACCACACAUACCCAGCUCAGGUGUGCAACUUUUUCUCUGUGGUCUCUUCCCCCGCCCCCCCCCCCUCAAAUUUGCAGUUCAGUUUUCUCUUUUGUACCAACCCAGGGAAAAACAAGGGCUCAAUCUAGCUUUUCUGGUUAACGCAAGCCUCUGAAGUGGCCUUUCCCGUCCUAAAGCUUAUAUGAUAUUAUUUCCUCAGCAAUAUGAAGCUCUAAAAUGUAAAAUUGUCAUAAUAGUCAACUACCAAACUGAAAAGAGAAAUCCUACUGUAAACAACAGCUUGUUUUAUACUCUUAAUGACAGACUGUCCAUAAUCUCUUCACACAGGAUUAAGGAAGGAUUAAAGCAGGGGACAAAUAAAGGACAAAAUACAAUAGCUUGAAGGAAUCUAGUAAUUUGUGGAAAUUUAGAGAAGCUGAACAAGUACUAAAUAAUUUAAGCAAAUUUUCACUUUUACUAUAUUAUUGGUGUUUUAUUUUAAGCACUAGCAACAACUUUAAAUUAUUUUAGAUGCCUGAAUUAUGUUUCAAAAUGUAAUGAAUAACAACAAAUCAUCUGCAUUUCUGCUGUACAAGUAUUAUGCAUUACCAAAAGUUUUACAUUUGCAUGCUAAAUAGGCUACUCUCAAAUUAAAAUACAAACUAGGAUAUAUGACCUGAUAAAGACCUCCCACACAGAUAAGCAAAACACAGCCCAAUUUCACCAACCUGUUUACAGUAACUGCUGAAAUCACCAAAACCGUUCACAGAGCAUGGCACUACUCUCAAUGAUCCAAACUGGCAGUAUUGCACAGUACAGAAUGUAUGCCGAUACAAAUUUUAACAGUUGAAAAACCCCACAGCCACAAACCAACAAACAAAUUGUUGCUACAAGAACCUGCUUUGUAGUGACUGUAUGUUACUAAAGCUGACAGUAAUCAGGUCCAUGACAGGUGGAUCCAGUUCUCGAGAUUAACUACAAAUCCAUUACUCUAAUCAAAGACCAGUGGUUAUUUAAAAGCAUGACUGCUCAGCUGCAAGCAAGAAGUUAACAACACGGCAAUAAAUAUUUGUACUUUCAAAUA
This is a long non-coding RNA of Aquila chrysaetos chrysaetos, 6060 nucleotides long. RefSeq lists it as uncharacterized. The record is from RefSeq and is a predicted model, not a curated record. The transcript has 2 exons. Lineage: Eukaryota; Metazoa; Chordata; Aves; Accipitriformes; Accipitridae.